UGCUUUCCCUGGCCCAUCAAGCCUUCUCCCGUGCUGGCCCAGUUGGACUUCCCUGGCGAUAGAGCCCACCGGCGAGCGCUCCUUCUUCCUCCCGACGUCACCUCCUGUACGACGCGCGCUCAACCUCCCGAUCGCCCUCUUCUCGAUCCAGCGGCUCGAGCUCGCCUCCCGAGGCGUUAAAAGGAGCCCGAGACCUCCUCCUCCGCCCUAGGGUUCCCUCUCCUUUCCUCCCCAGCGCCGCCAGUUUCCCUCGUGCCCUCGUUCUUCCCUGGUAAGUUCUGAGAGAAAGCAGAGAGAGAGGGU
RNAcentral lists this long non-coding RNA (303 nucleotides) under Hordeum vulgare. RNAcentral's name for it is "long non-coding RNA (HVUL_LNC016739)". The record is from RNAcentral. Lineage: Eukaryota; Viridiplantae; Streptophyta; Magnoliopsida; Poales; Poaceae.